GAUGAACGCUAGCUACAGGCUUAACACAUGCAAGUCGAGGGGAAACGACAUCGAAAGCUUGCUUUUGAUGGGCGUCGACCGGCGCACGGGUGAGUAACGCGUAUCCAACCUGCCCACCACUUGGGGAUAACCUUGCGAAAGUAAGACUAAUACCCAAUGACGUCUCUAGAAGACAUCUGAAAGAGAUUAAAGAUUUAUCGGUGAUGGAUGGGGACGCGUCUGAUUAGCUUGUUGGCGGGGUAACGGCCAACCAAGGCGACGAUCAGUAGGGGUUCUGAGAGGAAGGUCCCCCACAGUGGAACUGAGACACGUACAAAACGCCUACGGGAGGUAGCAGUGAGGACUAUUGGUCAAUGGGCGAGAGCCUGGACCAGCCAAGUAGCGUGCAGGAUGACGGCCCUAUGGGUUGUAAACUGCUUUUAUAAGUGAAUAAAGUGAGUCUCGUGAGACUUUUUGCAUGUACCUUAUGAAUAAGGACCGGCUAAUUCCGUGCCAGCCGCCGCAGUAA
This 508-nucleotide ribosomal RNA is filed under the name uncultured bacterium. Its description in RNAcentral is "partial 16S ribosomal RNA". It matches the Rfam family "Bacterial small subunit ribosomal RNA", at positions 28 to 523 of the family's 1533-position model. The record is from RNAcentral.